RNAcentral lists this non-coding RNA (47 nucleotides) under Schistosoma mansoni. The record is from RNAcentral. Lineage: Eukaryota; Metazoa; Platyhelminthes; Trematoda; Strigeidida; Schistosomatidae.
AUCCAGUUGACGAGUCCCAAACAGGGCGAAACGCACGUGUCCUGGAU